CAUUCUGCAGUCGUGACCCUUUCUUCUGCUUUAACUGCUGCAGUUCUCCUCAUCAUCAUAGUUUCAAUUAUUGGAGGAUUUAUCUGCAAAAAACAUCCAGAGAGCUCCUGUUUAAGAUCUGAAACAUCUGGAUCAGCUGUACAUGGAUCUGCUGCCACUUCAGAUGAAGAUAACUCAGAUGAACUGUACAAAAGCCUUCAGCAGCCGACAAGCGAUCUCUACCAAACUCUCUCCUCACUAUAAGCAUGAAACUGAAGCAAACUCAGCCAGCAACAAAGGAAAUUUUAACUUGGACAAUAUGGAAGUUUAUGGAAAACAUAAAAUUUAUGAAAACAUUUGAAGCUUUUUAUUUUGAAAAAUCUUUUGAGCUGAAUAAAGUUGGAUAAACAUUAGGCUGAAUUUCCUUGUGAUGUUUUACUGAGCAAGAUUAGCCAUAAGUUAUGUUAUUCAGUAUUUAAUAGUAACAUGUCAUAAUUUUGUCUAAAAAUUGGUAAAUGUACUUGUUUGUCUUGACAGAAUCUGUAACAUUCUUACAAUACAUCAUGUUAUCCAUUGUACUAUAAAUAGAAGAUUUAUAUAUUUCAUUGGUGGCGUCUUUGCAAAGCUGUUCCGUUCCUGUAAAGGUCCGCCUCAAUAUCAGACCACUGUUCUGUAACUUCAGGGCCUCUUCUAGAAUCAUAUAUUUAAUCUGUAACUGCCUCUGUUUAAGUUUUAAGUUAUUUCUAAGGACGCCUUGGACACCAGAAAUGAUAUGGCUCUAUAAGCAAUUCACAUGAUAGAUUACAGGCCUCUCAGUUCAAGCUGAUGGAUGAUAUCUUUAUAAAAUAUCAUUCUAAUCACAAAUUUGUCUGUGCAACUCAAAAACCUCUCCAGCAGCAAUCUGGAUGUUAGAAAUUAUGUUCCUCAAGGCUUAUAUAACAUUUUACAUUACUAAUGAGUCAAUGUUGAAGGUGAACGUUUC
This is a long non-coding RNA of Fundulus heteroclitus (mummichog), 961 nucleotides long. RefSeq lists it as uncharacterized. The transcript has 3 exons. Lineage: Eukaryota; Metazoa; Chordata; Actinopteri; Cyprinodontiformes; Fundulidae. The record is from RefSeq and is a predicted model, not a curated record.